Molecule: ribosomal RNA, 658 nt
Filed under: uncultured bacterium
Lineage: Bacteria
Description: bacterial SSU rRNA
Rfam family: Bacterial small subunit ribosomal RNA
Source: RNAcentral
CCUGCCCUGAAGUGGGGGAUAACAUUUGGAAACAGAUGCUAAUACCGCAUAGAUCCAAGAACCGCAUGGUUCUUGGCUGAAAGAUGGCGUAAGCUAUCGCUUUUGGAUGGACCCGCGGCGUAUUAGCUAGUUGGUGAGGUAACGGCUCACCAAGGCGAUGAUACGUAGCCGAACUGAGAGGUUGAUCGGCCACAUUGGGACUGAGACACGGCCCAAACUCCUACGGGAGGCAGCAGUAGGGAAUCUUCCACAAUGGACGCAAGUCUGAUGGAGCAACGCCGCGUGAGUGAAGAAGGCUUUCGGGUCGUAAAACUCUGUUGUUGGAGAAGAAUGGUCGGCAGAGUAACUGUUGCCGGCGUGACGGUAUCCAACCAGAAAGCCACGGCUAACUACGUGCCAGCAGCCGCGGUAAUACGUAGGUGGCAAGCGUUAUCCGGAUUUAUUGGGCGUAAAGCGAGCGCAGGCGGUUUUUUAAGUCUGAUGUGAAAGCCCUCGGCUUAACCGAGGAAGCGCAUCGGAAACUGGGAAACUUGAGUGCAGAAGAGGACAGUGGAACUCCAUGUGUAGCGGUGAAAUGCGUAGAUAUAUGGAAGAACACCAGUGGCGAAGGCGGCUGUCUGGUCUGUAACUGACGCUGAGGCUCGAAAGCAUGGGUAGC